Molecule: long non-coding RNA, 1855 nt
Organism: Esox lucius (northern pike)
Lineage: Eukaryota; Metazoa; Chordata; Actinopteri; Esociformes; Esocidae
Source: Ensembl
GGCAUCAUUGCUAUUUCUCCCAUUAUAGUCUGUGAUGUGUUGCAGUCCUCCCCACAUGCAUCUGGGGUCAGAGCUGUGGUAGUUAGACUCCAACUUAUCACGGUAUUGUCUUUUUCCAUCUCUGAUAGCCUUCCGUAGGUCAUAUCUGGAUCUCCUCAAAGCCUCCAGGUCCCUGGAGCUAUAGGCGCGGGACCGUGCUCUGAGCUUAGCACGGACAUUAGCAUUAACCCAGGGCUUUAGGUUGGGGAAACUCCUGAGAGUGACCCUCGAGACGACAUCAUCGAUGCAUUUGGAGAUUAAUGCUGAGACAGAGUCUGUGUAUUCAUCAAUGUUCCCAAAUGCUGCAACACAGAACCCCUGCCAAUCUGUUGUUUCAAAGCAGUCCUGGAGCGUGGUAAUGGAUUCCUCAUCCCAGCGUUGGAACUGCCAACCCUCAAUACCGCUACUUAAUGCAGAGGAGGACUACUUUGUGGAUGACUCAUGUUAUAAAGAUCAUGAAGGCAAUCACGCAGGAUUUGCGGUUGUAAAAUGUCAUGGGAAGGAGUUUAUUGAGGUCAUAGGCCCACAGCUGUGUUCAGCUCAACUGGCAGAACUGAAAGCCUUAACAGCUGCGUGCCCAGUUGUUAAGACCAAUAUGAGGUGAAUGUCUAUACUGACUCAGCAUAUGCUCAUGGCGUAUGUCAUUUGUUUGGUGUGGUUUGGAAACAGUGAGGUUCAAGAAAAGUGACGUCCAUCCAGCGUCAUGAACAAAUCAUUGACCUGAUGACAGCACUGAUGUAUCCCACACGGUUGGCUGGAGUUAAAUGUCAGGCUCACAGGAGAGGCAAUGAUUUCAUUAUACGUAGCAAUAAUGCAGCGCAAAACAAUGUGUGAAAAGGCAUAACCACGCUCAUAGGGCUCGUACUUGGUCAUAUACUAUGUGGACAUGAUAAAAAAAAAAAGGCAAAAGAUACAUGGCAAAAGAUACGUUUUGUGUUUUCUAGUUGCAGAUUUCUAUUAGGUGUGUGGGGGUCGGAGGCUUGAACCACCUUACCCAGGGGAUGGAAGGGCAUCUGUGGCCAAGGAGAGAAGAAGCAGAAGGAGAACCUACAGGAUGGUAGCUCUCCAGAAAGCGGACAGAGAGCAGCCCUGUUUAUAACAAAAAGCAACCCUCUGUCACGUGCUGGCACGGCAAGCCUGCCCUGAGCGAGAUGCCCCCCCUCCAAGGCUGUGUGAUAAGGCCACCCCACCCACCUGCAGUCAAGUGACCGAAAGAGGCCAAACACCCAGCAAAAGGAUUUAGGAGGGGUGUCGAAGAGGGCAGAAAAAAUUGGGAGGGGUCAACAUGGAGUUGCCGGGGACCUUCAGUGGUGACAGAAAUGCACACGACCUAAGUCGAACUGAACCUUCAGGCAGGGGAGCGCUUAGCCGUGUACCCCAGAAAUGCCCCCAUGAAACUGUUAGGGAAUGGUAGAGAAGUCCUGGUGGCACCAAGAGGGAAGAGGAACUCUCCCAUGCCAGGGAUAUAUUUGUUAAUCUGCUUUGUUUCCUGUACCAAUACAGGAUGUAAACAUUAGCUAGCAAUUUUUUUUAACUUAGUUUAAACUUAGUUCAAGCAAUGUACCAUCCCAACUGUUUGGACAGGGUUGUGUCCAACUGCAUACACACAGUGGGUUUGUGACUGGUGGCAAUGCCUGUCAUAGUGUAUUGACCACAAUCUAAAACUGUGCAAAAAACAUUACACAUAUUGUUUAAGCCAGCUACAAUUUCACUGGUUGCAGGCCACUAUUUAUGAGGUUUGAAAAAAAUAGCCCUAAUUUAUAAUGGUGGAAGUUGUUGUUCUACCACUGACCAUUUACCAGGUCUACCCAGCAGC